Molecule: long non-coding RNA, 238 nt
Filed under: Gossypium barbadense (sea-island cotton)
Lineage: Eukaryota; Viridiplantae; Streptophyta; Magnoliopsida; Malvales; Malvaceae
Description: long non-coding RNA (GBAR_LNC023511)
Source: RNAcentral
UAAUGUAUCUCGAAUGCUUAACAUGUUAGUUCAAGCAUAACAUAAUCACACUCAUCACAAUAUGGAUUCAUAUGUCAAGUUGAUUUCACUUCAAGAUUUAUAAUAAAACCAUUAUCACAUCCAUACAUAGAACUUUAGCCAUAUUCACAUGGCCUUAUAUAUAUAUACAAUACUAUCAAAAUAGCAACCUCCCAAAAUAUUAUUCUAUACAUGCCAUAAUGUCUAUUUGAGUUUUAAA